Molecule: unclassified non-coding RNA, 318 nt
Filed under: Craterispermum sp. ck13
Lineage: Eukaryota; Viridiplantae; Streptophyta; Magnoliopsida; Gentianales; Rubiaceae
Description: partial external transcribed spacer
Source: RNAcentral
AUAGCCUUGGCCGUCAUCACUGGUUUCCUGUGUUGCAUACCUACAUCGAUGGAAUUCGUAGACCAAUUCUUAUCUUGUUCGCCUAUCGCUGCCCGUUCGCACGGUGCGGCUUCGGGUGAACCUCAAAGCGAAAUUCGUGUUUUGCGUCGUUUGCGCAUCGCGUUAACGUCACGGCCCACGAGUUCUCGCUUGACCUCGGGGAUGCGGAAAACGCUGGUGGUACGGGGUCCUUGACCUCAAUUUGCCCACAAAAUUGGCAUCACACGCCACAUUCGAACGACUCUCGGCGUCGCACUGACGAAUGCGUCUGCGACCCGA